GACUCUGUGGCGCAAUGGUAGCACGUCUGACUCCAGAUCAGAAGGUUGCGUGUUCGAAUCACGUCAGGGUCA
This 72-nucleotide transfer RNA is filed under the name Saccoglossus kowalevskii. Its description in RNAcentral is "tRNA-Trp". It matches the Rfam family "tRNA". From Rfam's summary of the family: Transfer RNA (tRNA) molecules are approximately 80 nucleotides in length. Their secondary structure includes four short double-helical elements and three loops (D, anti-codon, and T loops). The record is from RNAcentral. Lineage: Eukaryota; Metazoa; Hemichordata; Enteropneusta; Harrimaniidae.